RNAcentral lists this ribosomal RNA (468 nucleotides) under uncultured bacterium. RNAcentral's name for it is "partial 16S ribosomal RNA". It matches the Rfam family "Bacterial small subunit ribosomal RNA", at positions 28 to 507 of the family's 1533-position model. The record is from RNAcentral.
GACGAACGCUGGCGGCGUGCUUAACACAUGCAAGUCGAACGGAAAGGCCCUGCUUUUGUGGGGUGCUCGAGUGGCGAACGGGUGAGUAACACGUGAGUAACCUGCCCUUGACUUUGGGAUAACUUCAGGAAACUGGGGCUAAUACCGGAUAGGAGCUCCUGCUGCAUGGUGGGGGUUGGAAAGUUUCGGCGGUUGGGGAUGGACUCGCGGCUUAUCAGCUUGUUGGUGGGGUAGUGGCUUACCAAGGCUUUGACGGGUAGCCGGCCUGAGAGGGUGACCGGCCACAUUGGGACUAAGAUACGGCCCAGACUGCUACGGGAGGCAGCAGGGGGGAAUAUUGCACAAUGGGCGGAAGCCUGAUGCAGAAACGCCGCGUGCGGGAUGACGGCCUUCGGGUUGUAAACCGCUUUCGCCUGUGACGAAGCGUGAGUGACGGUAAUGGGUAAAGAAGCACCGGCUAACUACGUG